Molecule: ribosomal RNA, 494 nt
Filed under: uncultured bacterium
Lineage: Bacteria
Description: partial 16S ribosomal RNA
Rfam family: Bacterial small subunit ribosomal RNA
Source: RNAcentral
GACGAACGCUGGCGGCGUGCUUAACACAUGCAAGUCGAACGGUGAAGCGCCUUCCUUUUUGGUGGGUGUGGAUGAGUGGCGAACGGGUGAGUAACACGUGAGUAACCUGCCCCCUUCUUCUGGAUAACCGCAUGAAAGUGUGGCUAAUACGGGAUAUUCUGGGUCUGUCGCAUGAUGGGUCUGGGAAAGAUAUUGUUUCGGUGGGGGAUGGGCUCGCGGCCUAUCAGCUUGUUGGUGGGGUGAUGGCCUACCAAGGCGGUGACGGGUAGCCGGCCUGAGAGGGUGGACGGUCACACUGGGACUGAGGCACGGCCCAGACUCCUACGGGGGGCAGCAGUGGGGAAUAUUGCACAAUGGGCGCAAGCCUGAUGCAGCGACGCCGCGUGCGGGAUGGAGGCCUUCGGGUUGUGAACCUCUUUCGCCAGUGAAGCAGGCCUGCCUCGUUUGUGGGUGGGUUGACGGUAGCUGGAUAAGAAGCGCCGGCUAACUACGUG